RNAcentral lists this long non-coding RNA (2466 nucleotides) under Gossypium raimondii (Peruvian cotton). RNAcentral's name for it is "long non-coding RNA (GRAI_LNC005989)". Lineage: Eukaryota; Viridiplantae; Streptophyta; Magnoliopsida; Malvales; Malvaceae. The record is from RNAcentral.
UUCUUUUUCAAAGUUUUCUAGGUUGGAUGGAGACUAAUUUGUGUUUUUUAGUGUGAGUGUUGUAACUUCCCCUAACCCCAAACCGUCGCCAGAACAGGGCUAUGAGGCAUUAUAGAACAUAUUGGUCAAUUUACGAGCAUUUCACAGGUAAAUAACAGACAUAACAUGCUUUAAUCAUUAAGCCCAUUUAUUGGACUCUGAAGGACCAAAUUUCGUUUCAAAAGUGAAUCGGGUUAUUAUCAUCUCAUACUUGUAUCAAAUAUGUCAUAUUAGUUCCAUUUCAUAUUUAUAACCAAUUUAAACAUCAUUCUACAACCAUAAUCACAAAACUCUUAUACUUCACCUAUACAUCACCUAAGUACAUGCCAUAUUAUCAAAACAAAGAUACAUCACUAAAAUUUAUCUCAGGUCGGGAUUGCUCUGGAUGCUGGACCGAACACUGAUUUUCUAUAAACCUACGCACGGAAACAACCGUACUCCGAGUAUAGAUAUACUCAGUGAUAUUACCAUAAUUCAAAUUUAUAACAUUAUACAAAUAAAUAUGCAUAUUUAAUUUAUGCUAAUAAUCUUUCAAUAAACAUUUAAUACAUUAAAUCAACUUGUUUCAACAACAACAAUAAUAAUAAUUAUCUUUCAAUUCGAUGCGUUGAUUUAUAAUCAAUUUACACUUAUAAUAGCUUUAACACUCAAUUUAUACAUUAAAUCCAUAAAUAAAUUUCAAUAACUUGUAUUCAAUUAAAUUCACAUAUUAUUUCACUAUUUCAAAUCAUUUUAUUUUCACUUCUCAUUUUUCAACAAUAGUUAUUUCAAUUUGCUUUUCGUCACUUAGAUUUUUUCAUCAUCUCAUGCUACCAAAACAUUUCAUGAACUAUAUCAUUAUCUAUUUUUUGAACCCAGGGUUCAUGCAUUUCAUUUCUAUAUCUCAAUUUAAUAUCUCAUUUCAAUUCAUUUUCAAGAUCAUUCAAUACAAUUUAUAUUAUCAAAAUUGUUCAUUUACCCCUAUUAACUUAACUCGGACUUUGGCGGAUACACGGAUCCAACCAAACACACUAGUACUACACAUUGUACCUUAACGGUACACAACACCUAAACAGUAAUCAGUAACUGUAGCAGUAACAGUAAUAGUAACAGUAACAGUAACAGAAAUAGUAUUCAACACACAAAGUGCUGAAUCUAUAACAGUAACGAUAACAGUAUUUGACACACAAAAUGUCGAACCGGUAACAGUUAUAGUAGUCGGCAUAUAAAUGUCUGAUCAGUAAGCCGGCAAAAACCCGUACUCUUCCAUAUCCUAUAGCAUGCCAACUAUAUCCGACUAGCCCGACUAGUUAAUAGGGUAUUUAAUUCACUUUUCAGUAUAAUUUCCAUCUUAGUUCAGUAUCAAUUAUAAUUCCUUAUUUCAAUCAGUUUUACAGUAUUGCAGUAAUUCAUUACUUUAGUAAUUUUUCAAUAUUCCAAUUCAAUACCACAAUAGUUCAAUAAUUCAAUUCAAAUCAUUUCAAUUUCUAUUCAAUAAUCACAUUUCAAUUUCACUCAAUUCACAAUUUUUCAUGUUCAAAAUUUAAAUCAAUUUUUCAAUCCAAAAUGCAUUUCAAUACCACAUUAAUUCUUUUAAUUCAUAUCAUAUCACUAGUAAUUCACAUACAAUUCACAUACAUUCAAUAUCAUUUAAUUCAAUAUCAAUAUUCACCUUAUUUUUAUUUACGAAACAUAUUAUUCAAAAUUCAACAAUCGUUAUUAAUAAAUUCAAUACCAAUACGUAUUUAUCAUUCAAUUCAAUCAUGAUACUUACCUCAAUUUGCUUAUCAUGUAUAUUAAUUUAAAUUUUAACAAUUAAUAAUUAAAUUCGAAUUAUGGUAAUACUAACCGAAAUUUCUGUCGAGUCACUUCUUGUCCACAUUUUCCUUUCCUUGCUUGGACAAUGACUCUUGCACGACAUUAGCUACGUAAUUAAACAAUUAAAAAUUAUUAAUACACGAUUUCAUCAAAAUAUUUCCAUUUAUACCUAAACUUUACCUAAAUUCUAAUUUCAUCCCUUAUCAAUACUAAUUUUAUUUCCCCAAUCUAACUCCAUAUUCUCUCUUAAUUCUUACUAUAAACUCAUUUUAAUUAUUCAAUUUCACAUAAAUCCCGAAUUUCGAGAUUCUUUCAAUUUAGUCCCUACUAUUCAAAAUUUACACUUUAUUUUACAAUUAAAUCCUUUACUAACUUCUAAGUUGAAAUUAAAUCAAUUUAACCCCUAAUUCAUCAUCUUUCCCAACAUGAACCAUGUCUAAAAAAAAUAUAAUAUCUUACAAAAUUUCAACAUAAAUCCAAUAAUACUUUAUUCUAAGAUUCCAAAAACAUCAAAACUAAGAAAAAAUGGAUUAAAUUGACUUACAAAAUUAACUUUGAACCUUGAAACCCUAAAUUUCCCUUUUUCUUUUUCUUUCUUUCUUUCUCCCCUGUUUCUUCUCUGUUUCGUUC